AUUCCCUUCAGACCAAGAAAAAAAAAAGGAAUCUUUUUUUUACUGUUAAUUUUUUAAAAUGCUGUUCCAUUAUAUGGAAACUAGUUUGUUUCUUUGAGAAUAUGUGGAAUUCAGGUUGUUUAAGAUCCCUUUAUAUGCUCUGUCAAUAGAUACUGCCACUAGUUGGACCAACAAAGUUGAUAAUGGACAUUCCAAUCGAUAACUAUCAGUGGCAUGAGUUCUUUCCAAAUGUUACACAUAAUAUGGGCAUUGUUAUUGCAAUAUGGGCUCCAAUUGUCCUGGUCUAUUUUAUGGAUGCACAAAUAUGGUAUGCCAUAUAUUCUACUCUGUUUGGUGGAAUUCAUGGAGCCUUCAGCCAUUUGGGUGAGAUACGGACACUUGGGAUGUUGCGAUCCAGAUUUGAAGCUGUGCCUUCAGCUUUCAAAAAUCGUCUUGCACCACCAGCCAAAGAUGAAUCCGAAAGGGAAAACAAGGAGAACCUCUUUCCCCGGAAGGCCAUUGCCAAGUUUUCUCAAGUGUGGAAUGAAUUCAUAUAUUCAAUGCGAAUGGAAGACCUUAUAAGCAAUAGGGACAGAGACUUGUUGCUUGUUCCAUAUUCUUCAAGUGAGGUAUCUGUUGUGCAGUGGCCUCCUUUUUUGCUUGCUAGUAAGAUUUCUAUAGCAUUAGAAAUGGCAAAAGAUUUUAAAGGGAAGGAUGAUGGUGAUUUGUUUCGGAAGAUUACAAGUGAUGAUUAUAUGCGUUCAGCAGUUAUUGAAUGCUAUGAGACACUCAGAGAUAUUAUAUAUGCCCUUCUGGAAUUAGAAUCAGAUAAGAUGAUUCUAAGGAAUAUAUGUUAUGAAGUAGAACAGAGUAUAGAGCAGGGCAGAUUUAUAAAUCAUUUCAAGAUGAGUGAGCAGCCUCAGCUCAGUGAGAAGUUGGAGAAAUUUCUAAAGCUCUUGCUAGCAGAAAGUGAACAUUUUUCUGAGCCUCAAAUAAUCAAUGUCCUCCAGGACAUUAUGAAGAUUAUUACACAGGAUAUUAUGAUUGAUGGUCAUAAAAUCCUUGAAAGCACUCACCAUGCUGAAGAUGGUAAGACAGAGCAAAGGUUUGAAAGGCUAGACUUCCCACUGAUGCUAAACAAAUCAUGGAAGGAGAAGGUCGUUAGGCUUCAUUUGCUUUUGAACGUCAAGGAGUCUGCCAUAAAUGUGCCUCAGAACUUGGAGGCUCGCCGACGCAUUACCUUCUUUGCCAACUCCCUAUUUAUGAAUAUGCCAAAAGCUCCCAAAGUCCAAAACAUGCUGUCCUUUAGUGUUUUAACUCCAUAUUUCAAAGAAGAUGUACUUUAUUCUGAAGAUGAACUAAAGAAGGAAAAUGAGGAUGGGAUAUCAACUUUGUUCUACCUUCAAAAAAUAUAUCCUGAUGAAUGGACCAAUUUCCUAGAACGCAUAAAAGAUGUUAUAAAAGAUUCCAAAGAGGAGAAUCGUGAGAAAGAAAAGAUGGAGUUCAUUCGUCUCUGGGUAUCUUACAAGGGGCAGACACUUGCUAGAACAGUGAGAGGGAUGAUGUACUAUAAGCAGGCUCUAGAACGUCAAUGUUCCUGGAAUUCGCUGACGAUGAUGCUAUUCUUCUUGGCUAUCGGAACUUUGAGUUAUUUCUUGAUCAUAAGGCUUUUCAAGAUCGUGCACAAGCCCUGGCUGAUUUGAAGUUUACAUAUGUUGUUUCCUGCCAGGUUUAUGGAAAUCAGAAAAAAUCUGAUGAUCCUAGAGACAGAAGUUGUUACAUUAAUAUUCUGAAUCUGAUGUUGACGUGAGUCACUGUUACAAUUCAUUAAACAUUGAUAGUUCUUCAAAGAGAUCCAAAACGUGAAUGACAUCUUUGAAAUAUUUAAACUCUUUUUAGGAAUCCAUCUCUACGUGUUGCUUACAUAGAUGAAAGGGAGGAGAUGGUAAAUGGAAAAUCUCAGAAGUUGUAUUACUCUGUUCUUGUCAAGGGAGGGGAGAAGUUAGAUGAGAAUGGUGGUACUGAUGCUCCUAAGGUUCCUCUGGUGGAAUGGGCUAAGGUUUGUAUGCCGGUGCAGAAUGGUGGUUUAGGGAUUCAACAACUGAGAAGAUUUAAUUCUACUUUGUUAGGCAAACGGUUGUGGCGAUAUGGAACGGAGAGAGAUGCCCUUUGGAGGAAGGUCAUUGAGGCUAAAUAUGGGGAUGAAGGGGGUAGUUGGUGUACCAAACCGGUGUUAGGGACCUAUGGUGUUAGUGUGUGGAAAUCCAUUAGAAGUGGUUGGCUGGACUUUUCUAAACUUCUUUGGUUUGAUGUGGGUGAUGGUAUUAGUAUAAAGUUUUGGGAGGAUGUAUGGUGUAGGGAUUGUUCCCUUAAGGAAGCAUUUCCAGAAUUGUAUAAUAUUAGUUAGGCAAGGGAGUUUUUUGUGUUAGAGGUGAUGCGUUUCUCUAAUGGGAGGCUUCAUUGGGACAUUCGGUUCUGAUGUCCACCACAAGAUUAGGAGUCAGAAUCAUUUGAUCUUUUUUGGGUUGUGCUUUAUUCCACGAAUGUGCAAGGUGCUGGCAAUGACAAACUUUGCUGGAAGGCAGCAAUGAGGAGAGGUUUUGAGGUUCGAGGCUUCUAUCACUCUUUAUCUUCUUCUUCUGUCAUUGAUUUUCCUUGGAAAAUGGUGUGGCAAUCCAAGGUUCCUCCUAGAGUAGCAUUCUUUUCUUGGACUGCUGCCUUAGGUAAAAUCUUAACUACAAAUAAUCUUUGGAAGAGGCAUAUUGCAAUGUUAAAGUGGUGCUUUAUGUGUAAAUGGUGUGGAGAAUCAGAGGAUCAUCUUCUUCUUUAUUGUCCUAUAGCAUAUGAGUUGUGGUCUAUGGUGUUUGUUUGUUUGGUAUACAUUGGGUUAUGCCGUAUAAAGUUAGUGAGGUAUUAGUUUCUUGGCAGGGGAAGUAUGGUAGACAUCGAAAUAUAGGUUUAUGGAGGUUUGUGCCACAUUGUUUGUUUUGGUUCUUAUGGCGAGAGUGGAAUGCUAGAUGCUUUGAGG
Molecule: RNA transcript, 3007 nt
Organism: Quercus lobata
Lineage: Eukaryota; Viridiplantae; Streptophyta; Magnoliopsida; Fagales; Fagaceae
Gene name: callose synthase 7-like
Exons: 16
Source: RefSeq, a predicted model, not a curated record